RNAcentral lists this ribosomal RNA (1139 nucleotides) under Staphylococcus sp. HMSC13A10. RNAcentral describes it as "bacterial LSU rRNA". It matches the Rfam family "Bacterial large subunit ribosomal RNA", at positions 51 to 1185 of the family's 2925-position model. Lineage: Bacteria; Bacillati; Bacillota; Bacilli; Caryophanales; Staphylococcaceae. The record is from RNAcentral.
GAAGGACGUUACUAACGACGAAAUGCUUUGGGGAGCUGUAAGUAAGCGUUGAUCCAGAGAUUUCCGAAUGGGGAAACCCAACAUGAGUUAUGUCAUGUUAUCGAUAUGUGAAUACAUAGCAUAUCAGAAGGCAGACCCGGAGAACUGAAACAUCUUAGUACCCGGAGGAAGAGAAAGAAAAAUCGAUUCCCUGAGUAGCGGCGAGCGAAACGGGAAGAGCCCAAACCAAUAAGCUUGCUUGUUGGGGUUGUAGGACACUCUAUACGGAGUUACAAAAGUAUAUAUUAGACGAAUCAUCUGGAAAGUUGAAUCAAAGAAGGUAAUAAUCCUGUAGUCGAAAAUAUAUACUCUCUUGAGUGGAUCCUGAGUACGACGGAGCACGUGAAAUUCCGUCGGAAUCUGGGAGGACCAUCUCCUAAGGCUAAAUACUCUCUAGUGACCGGAUAGUGAACCAGUACCGUGAGGGAAAGGUGAAAAGUACCCCGGAAGGGGAGUGAAAGAGAACUUGAAACCGUGUGCUUACAAGUAGUCAGAGCCCGUUAAUGGGUGAUGGCGUGCCUUUUGUAGAAUGAACCGGCGAGUUACGAUUUGAUGCAAGGUUAAGCAGUGAAUGUGGAGCCGUAGCGAAAGCGAGUCUGAAUAGGGCGUUGAGUAUUUGGUCGUAGACCCGAAACCAGGUGAUCUACCCUUGGUCAGGUUGAAGUUCAGGUAACACUGAAUGGAGGACCGAACCGACUUACGUUGAAAAGUGAGCGGAUGAACUGAGGGUAGCGGAGAAAUUCCAAUCGAACCUGGAGAUAGCUGGUUCUCUCCGAAAUAGCUUUAGGGCUAGCCUCAAGUGAUGAUUAUUGGAGGUAGAGCACUGUUUGGACGAGGGGCCCUUCUCGGGUUACCGAAUUCAGACAAACUCCGAAUGCCAAUCAAUUUAACUUGGGAGUCAGAACAUGGGUGAUAAGGUCCGUGUUCGAAAGGGAAACAGCCCAGACCACCAGCUAAGGUCCCAAAAUAUAUGUUAAGUGGAAAAGGAUGUGGCGUUGCCCAGACAACUAGGAUGUUGGCUUAGAAGCAGCCAUCAUUUAAAGAGUGCGUAAUAGCUCACUAGUCGAGUGACACUGCGCCGAAAAUGUACCGGGGCUAAA